Molecule: small RNA, 27 nt
Filed under: Bombyx mori (domestic silkworm)
Lineage: Eukaryota; Metazoa; Arthropoda; Insecta; Lepidoptera; Bombycidae
Description: ovarian small RNA-26138
Source: RNAcentral
UCAUCGUCAUGUGCAAUUGAUGCUUCA